CGUCCCCCUCUCCCUGGGGAACCCAACCUGGGACACGAUGUUCAACACUGGUUGGAUGGACCAGAACUCACCUGCCUCCGUCGCCCUCGGGGUCAUCUUUCUGUCCGCUGCGGAGGAAUUCAGCUGCGGCCAACGAUCCAAGCCUCCAAGGACCCCUUUCUUCCCUAGGUGAUUGAUUGAUCCCAGAAAUACCCCCACUACGUUCCCAUCUCGGGGCCUCAGUCACUCAGCCCUCUGAGCUCAUCAUCUACACAGGGGACACCUGCUCCCGGUGCGAGUGACAUCACCUUGCUAAUAAAUGAUGGCAUCCAGAGCGGGGGUGGGGCACCACCCUUGGACGGCACAAGUGGGGAGUGAGGAAAGAUGGGGGGCCGUCAGCACACCUUCCCGUCAGGGCUCCCCGCUGACCACCCUACCCAAGCCAGUCUUUUCCGUGUCACUGAGUUCGGCGUCUUCCUUUGCAGCCGAUAACUAUUUGAUGUAGUCCCUUAUUUACUUACGUACUGUCCUCCUAAAACAUAAGCUUCAUGAGGGUGGGAACCUCAUCUAUCUUGUUUAUAAUUAUAUCCUCAGCAUCUAGCAUGGCACCUGGCCCUGUGGGUUAAGAGCACACGUUGGAAGACACACAACCUCCUUUGACCUCAGGGCCGUCCACGAGCCUGCGGUUCCUCACCUGCAAACAUGCGAAUCAAGGAGGGGCUGUUGGGAGGACGAAGAGGCGACCCGAGGACAAAGCGCUGAGCGCGGUGCCUGCACAGAAACACGCACGUGCAGUGACAUCAACCCCAAACGCUGUCCAUCCUACUGUGUGUUUUCUUCUGUGGCGUGGGGCACAGAAAGGUGGGAGAUUUGGGGGGGUCUGCAAUCUAGAAGGUGAGACAGAGGGGAAGAGGCAGGUGUUCCUAGGCAACCGCGAGAAAGAAGUCAUCAGGGGACAAGCAGCACAGCUCGGGGACGCAGGCUCGGCCACGCUCACUCCAGGAGGUUCUGCAGGCCAGGAUGGCCCCUCUUGGGCACUUGAACCCGGGGAGCCGCGCCACAAAAGGCUGGGGGAGUUCAUCCUGGAGGCAGGGGCAGGGAGAAACGAGGGGAGGCCAUUUAGCAGAAAAGCAAAACUACCUGUCACGGCGGAUUUUGGAAUGUUUGUGCCAGAGGCAGAGAAGAGGAAAGCGUUUAAGUCUGAAAAAAGCCACCUCUGGGGCCUCGGCAAGCGGUCAUUCGAGACCGCAGAGUGACACCUAGUGGGCACUUGGGGAAGUGCUCCCUGCCGAGAUGGCGGGCUCAGGCAG
RNAcentral lists this long non-coding RNA (1289 nucleotides) under Felis catus (domestic cat). RNAcentral describes it as "lncRNA (ENSFCAG00000050835.1)". The record is from RNAcentral. Lineage: Eukaryota; Metazoa; Chordata; Mammalia; Carnivora; Felidae.